GGGCCCGCACAAGCAGUGGAGUAUGUGGUUUAAUUCGAAGAUACGCGAAGAACCUUACCAGGGCUUGACAUCCUCGGAAUCUGUAUGAGAAUACGGAGUGCCUUCGGGAACCGAGUGACAGGUGGUGCAUGGUUGUCGUCAGCUCGUGUCGUGAGAUGUUGGGUUAAGUCCCGCAACGAGCGCAACCCUUAUCGUUAGUUGCUAACAUUUAGUUGAGCACUCUAGCGAGACUGCCGUCGAUAAAACGGAGGAAGGUGGGGACGACGUCAAAUCAUCAUGCCCCUUAUGUCCUGGGCUACACACGUACUACAAUGGCUGUUAACAAUGGGAAGCCAAACCGCGAGGUGGAGCAAAUCCCCAAAAAACAGUCCCAGUUCGGAUUGCAGGCUGAAACUCGCCUGCAUGAAGUUGGAAUUGCUAGUAAUCGCGAAUCAGAAUGUCG
RNAcentral lists this ribosomal RNA (442 nucleotides) under uncultured Bacillota bacterium. RNAcentral's name for it is "bacterial SSU rRNA". It matches the Rfam family "Bacterial small subunit ribosomal RNA", at positions 917 to 1359 of the family's 1533-position model. Lineage: Bacteria; Bacillati; Bacillota. The record is from RNAcentral.